UACGUAGGGUGCAAGCGUUAAUCGGAAUUACUGGGCGUAAAGCGUGCGCAGGCGGUUGUGCAAGACAGAUGUGAAAUCCCCGGGCUUAACCUGGGAAUUGCAUUUGUGACUGCACGGCUAGAGUGUGUCAGAGGGGGGUAGAAUUCCACGUGUAGCAGUGAAAUGCGUAGAUAUGUGGAGGAAUACCGAUGGCGAAGGCGGCUUCCUGGACCGACACUGACGCUGAGGCGCGAAAGCUAGGGGAGCAAACGGG
Molecule: ribosomal RNA, 253 nt
Filed under: uncultured bacterium
Lineage: Bacteria
Description: partial 16S ribosomal RNA
Rfam family: Bacterial small subunit ribosomal RNA
Source: RNAcentral